Molecule: ribosomal RNA, 253 nt
Filed under: uncultured bacterium
Lineage: Bacteria
Description: partial 16S ribosomal RNA
Rfam family: Bacterial small subunit ribosomal RNA
Source: RNAcentral
UACGUAGGGUGCAAGCGUUAAUCGGAAUUACUGGGCGUAAAGCGUGCGCAGGCGGUGAUGUAAGACAGAUGUGAAAUCCCCGGGCUCAACCUGGGAACUGCAUUUGUGACUGCAUCGCUGGAGUGCGGCAGAGGGGGAUGGAAUUCCGCGUGUAGCAGUGAGAUGCGUAGAUAUGCGGAGGAACACCGAUGGCGAAGGCAAUCCCCUGGGCCUGCACUGACGCUCAUGCACGAAAGCGUGGGGAGCAAACAGG